Molecule: transfer RNA, 72 nt
Rfam family: tRNA
About the family: Transfer RNA (tRNA) molecules are approximately 80 nucleotides in length. Their secondary structure includes four short double-helical elements and three loops (D, anti-codon, and T loops).
Source: Rfam
GCCCUUGUGGUUCAGUGGUAGCACGUUGCACUUGUAAUGCAAAGGUCCUGAGUUCAACUCUCAGCGGGGGCA